This 14467-nucleotide long non-coding RNA is filed under the name Vigna radiata. Its description in RNAcentral is "long non-coding RNA (VRAD_LNC005181)". The record is from RNAcentral. Lineage: Eukaryota; Viridiplantae; Streptophyta; Magnoliopsida; Fabales; Fabaceae.
GGGGGGUNCAGCUUGAGAUAGCAUGCUCCGGUCCAAUCCUCCUUUCUUGGUUUGCAGGCAUGGAGUGUAGGUGCAAAUAACAUUGUGCGUGGUGGCAAGAGAAGAGAAUGCGGCCCAAUAAGCCCAAGACCCUUUGCUCCAAAUCAGAACAGUAGGGGUUCCAGCGUAUGAAAAUUGGGGUGCUUUUGGUAGUUGCUGGUCAGGCCCAAGACCCUUUUUUUUUUUGUUUGCAGAAACAGGAUGGGCCAUAGCCCAACUGGAAAGGUGGUGUAACAGUGAGAUUUAGGGGUGGGGUGCCACUGGAUAUUUUGUUGAGAUGGCCCAAGGCCUCUUUUAUUGUUUGCCAGAAAGGGAAUGGAGGUGCGAAUAGCAAACGAGGGGUGCAAGGAAGAAACUCCAGCCACUAGCCAGGCCCAAGGCCAUUUAACCCUAACAGAAACUGAUAGGGGUUCCUUCAAUUUCAUUCCAUUUCAUCACCUAGGGCUUCUUUCCCUCUGAACGAAAGAAGCCAGAGACCUCACCCCCACUGCUCACGGCCAAGACUUAGCUUCCGGCCACCGCGAACUACGGUCCAUAGCGUCGCCGACCACGACCCUCGUCGCUUGAGCCACCAAUUCGAGGCCGUCGUCCUCCGUCGAGCUGUCCGCCACUAGAUGCAACCCAAAACCUGUCAGUGUCGACGGCCGCUGCCACAGACUCCGUCAGACGCCGCGCCAAUCUCUCAUCCUCCCCUUUUCUGCGAGAACAGCCACUCACCGAGCUAACGACGUCUCACCGGAAACAAAACCCAGGGGAACAGUUUCCCUCGUCAAACUCUGAUACGGCGUGGUUCGAAAGCGAGAGUCUCCUUUUCCUCUCCCUCUCUUAUUCGAAAUCCAAAUCAACGCCACCAGCAAAAACAGACAAUGCCGCCGAAUCUCACCCUGUUUUUGUGCAUUGAUUGAGUUUGGGUUUUUUUUUGGAUUUUUGGUUAUGACAAUGUGUUUCAAGAAAAUGGGUAUUGGUCUCUCUUUUUGGUAGUGUUGCUUAUUGAAGGUUGAAGUUGGAGUUGGAGGUAAGAAUGGGAUUCUGUUUUGUGUGAUCUGCGUGAGUUUCUGCUGUUAUAAACGAAAGGUGAGGGAGGAGCUUCUGGUUGUAUGCGCUGGUUGCAAGAGUAGGAGGUGAUGGAGGAAAUUGGUUCCAAAAAGGGUGACACUGUUGAGUUGAUAAGAUGUAAUAUGUGAGUGAGAGGUUGAUGAUGGAUGAUGGAAGAAUCGGUGGGAGAAUCCCAUUUUUUUUAUGCUNGAGAAAACAGUUUUGGAGAAAGUGAUUCUGUUGAGUGAGUAGUGAUUUUGAUUGUGAGAAUUUGGUUUUGUGAGUGAACCCGNUAGGGAUAGGCCAUGAAGCUUGGGAUUGGAAGAUGAAUUUGUCGAAGAUGAUGAAUUNGGAGAGGAUGGGAAUCAGGUUUUGGAAGAGNAGAAUCGUGGUGUGUGUGAUGGGUGAAAAAGUGGAGAGGUAGGAAUGGUGAGAAGGUGAGAAUGAUAUUGGUUGUUCUGUUGGAUUUGCAGGUGACAAAAGUAUGUUGUUGGGUGAUGAAAAUGUAAGAAGGUGAAGCGGGAUUGAGUUUCUCCGUUUUUCUCUUGUUUGGUGUUUCUGUAAUGGAGGAGGUAGUGAGUGAUUUGUUGCUGGGAUGAUAGGUGCAGUGGAGUGGAUGAUGGGAUGGCGUAAUGAGGCCCAGUGUGUGUGUGAUAGCCAAAAGAGGUGUGUGUGUGAAUCUGUUGGGGGUGGUUAUGGGUUAGAGGAGUAGAGUGGUGGAGAGCCUUCGAGUGUGAUGUCCUUCCUUGCCUGCCAAGACCAAACCGCCUCUGCCAAAAUCAAUCCUCGCCUCCCAAAUUUGCAUCCUUUUCCUCAGGCCAUGUUGUCCUUUUUUUCACAAACGACAAAGCCUUUUUCUUUUUCUAAUUUCCCUUUUUUUUCUUUUUCUUAACUAUAUUAAUUAUGCUAAAACAAGGCUAAAAAUAAAAAAAUAAAAAGUAAAAACAAAAUUCAAAAUAAAAUAAAAAUUAUGAAAAUAAAAGUAAAAUAAAAAUAAAAUAGAAUGAUAAAAAGGAAAUAAAAAAAAAGACAUAAAAUAAGAUAGAAUAAGAAAAUCUGUAUAUCAUUCACCCGGACGAAAUUGGGUGUUGACAGCUGCCCCUCUUUACUUAGAUAUUAGCAGAUAAUAUGAAAAUUUGAUAUUUUCGUAUUAUCAGAGUAAAAGCUAAGUAAAGAUAGAAACACUAAUUUCGUCUGGGUUUCAAAAGAGAAAGAGAAAAAGNAAAAGACCAAUCCAAGAGAGUUCGACCAUUGCUUAGCAGAGGGUCGAAAUCUCAGAAAAAGACUAAAAGUGCCAGAUAAAACUGGGCUUGGUGGGCCAGUAUAGAGACUGGGCUUGUGAUAAAUGAGGUGUACAAACCUCGUGGAAAGGGUGUACUAACCCUAUGGAUGACUGAUUUGAAGUGUACUAACCUCGCGGAAAGGGCAUACUAACCCUGUGGAUGAAUGAUGUGAGGUGUACUAACCUCGCGGAAAGGGUGUACCAACCCUACGGAUGAAUUAUGUGAGGUGUACAAACCUCGUGGAGGGUGUACAAACCCUACGGAUGAAUGAUUUGAGGUGUACGAACCUCGUGGAGGGUGUACCANNNNNNNNNNNNNNNNNNNNNNNNNNNNNNNNNNNNNNNNNNNNNNNNNNNNNNNNNNNNNNNNNNNNNNNNNNNNNNNNAUGUGAGGUGUACAAACCUCGUGGAGGGUGUACAAACCCUACGGAUGAAUUAUUUGAGGUGUACGAACCUCAUGGAGGGUGUACCAACCCUAUGGAUGAAUUAUGUGAUUGUUAGGUUCGACCAUUGUCUUACAGAGGGUCGAAACACAAAGAAAAACUUGAGCUUAGGGUGCCAGACGAGCUGGGAUUUUGAAACUUUGAAAUUUCCAGAUGAAACUGUUUUUUUUUUUAAAUUUGAAAUUGCCAGACGACACUGGGCUUUUGAAACUUUGAAAUUGCCAAAUGAAACUGUGCUUUUUUUUUAAAUUUUCAAAUUGCCAGACGACACUGGGCUUUUGAAACUUUGAAAUUGCCAGAUGAAACUGUGCUUUGGAAAUUGGCAGAUGAAACUGGGCUUUUGAAAUUUUUGGAACUUGUAGCUUUGUGAAAUGUUUUGGUGAUUUUCGACAAAAAAUUGAUUAUUGAAAAGACAUUAGGGUGUUGAAACCCUCAAUACAAUGUGUCAAAAUCUUGAUGCAGGAUCAGGGUGUCAAAACUGCAAUAUGAAAGAAACAUGAUCGACAAGAAACAACAUCACUUGAAAGAGAAAAUUUUAAUGUCAUUUUCAUUGCAUUCAUUUUUUUGUAUUUCUGAAGAAGGAUUUGAUAACCAUUCAUAUGAACGAAGGUGGUUUCGAUCCGAAAAAAUUUCUUUUUGAUGGAUGGAUGCACAUAUGAAAAGCAUUUGCUUUGUUUUGCAUUUUUUUCUUUUUCGCUUGAGUCGAUUGUCUUACUUGCAAUCAUCAAACUGGUCUUUAUUUUCAAUGUUUUGUGAAAACUGAGGAAUGUCAUGCAUCCGAGGUCUAAAAUUGAGAUUAUUACAUUUUGACUUUUUUUUUUCGACACAUCAGUGCACACAUGCUUGAAUUUGUUGGCAAGCGGAGAAAUGAGAGAUGUUUAGAAGGGUUUAGAGGAGAAUGGGAUAACUGUAUGGACAAGUCAUUCCUCAUAAUCCUCAAAGGAGAUGUGACAUGAGAAUGUCAGGGUGAACACGAGAUACACAAAGGGUGUCCCAGCUUGAUGUUACGGAAAAUGAGCUGGGGUUUGGAUCCAUGAAAGUUAGGGUGAGAAAAUUUCAAAUGAGAUUUGCAAAGCUGCCCUCAGUCUUGAGGUUAUGGAUUGAUGAAAAACUUGUGUGAGACUCACAAAGCCGCCCAAUUUUUUGUUUGCUUUUUUUUCUUUGUUUAUUGUGGUAUGGGUUGAUGAUAAACUCGGGUGAGACUCACAAAGUUGUCCCGGUUUUUUCUUUGGCAAGGGGUUCCAUUUGGAAGAGGUAUUGGACAUGAAAAGGAUCGGCAAAAAGGAUGGCCCCAAAUUAGUUUGAUUUUUCUUUUGCAUGCUUCUGGUUAGACGGAAGGGUGAUCCCCUCUUCCCAAGACAUUACUUUUUCUUCUUCUUUUUUUUUGCUUUUUUUUUCUUCUCUUCUCUUUUUUUUUACGACACAUUGAAAAUCAUUUCCCCUUAUCGCAAAGUUAAGCUUUAUGAAAAUUUUAGCAAACAUUAUCCAAUUUGCGUGGACUUUAUUAGGCUUGUAACGUGGCUAGGGGCUAAAAGGUAUUAGAAGAAAAGGUAUAAAGGCCCAAAUGAAUGUUUGUUGGUUGCCUCGACAACUUACAGGAACUGUUGACUGCCCCCACACAUCACCACGAGACUUUCCAGUGUGCUUUGUCCUCACUCACACACUUUCCGAGAAAAGUUCCUGGAAAGUCACCCAUCCCAGAAUUACCGGUAGCCUAACUCAUAAGAACUCCAUGGUUAAGCGUGCUUAGCCUAGAGUAAUAAUGGGAUGGGUGACCUUCCGGGAAGUUUUCCCGGAAAGUGUGUGAGUGAGGACAAAACACACUGGAAAGCCUCGUGUUGAUGUGUGGGGGCAGUCAGCAGUCCCUCUAAGUUGCUGGGGCGUUACAAAUGGUAUCAGAGCCUAGCCUCUCCCAGUACGGUGUGGUUCGAGGAAGAACCAGACGGAAGCUGGUGGGCAUGUGACACCCGGGCACUGACGAGGGCGGGGAGUGAUCACCGGUGCAAGAGGCAUGGUGCAGGGGGCACGGACAAGGAGCGGCUCCUGGCAGGCUUCUAGUGGAAGGGGUACAUGGACGAAUCGAACAUACACCAGAAUGAGAGCGAUCUAGAGACUGUAUAGGUAUGGGAUUAUACGGUUGAAGGAUAGCUAAAGGAAUUGAUUUGGCUACUCAUAUCAACAAAUGCAUUUGCUUUUCGGUAGCCUAACUCAUAAGAACUCCAUGGUUAAGCGUGCUUAGCCUAGAGUAAUUAUGGGAUGGGUGACCUUCUGGGAAGUUUUCUCGGAAAGUGUGUGAGUGAGGACAAAACACACUGGAAAGCCUCGUGUUGAUUUGUGGGGGCAGUCAGCAGUCCCUGUAAGUUGUCGGGGCGUUACACUUUCUGCUCAACAUCACUUUGUGAUUUUUUGUUGUUCUUUUUGUUUUGUCUUUUGUUUUUUUUUAUUCACUCUUCUUGAUGAAUUCUCUUUGUUUGACCACUGAGUGCUCUUUAUUUGCAUCAUGAGUCGACUCCUACCUGAUGACAACCCUUGCUUGGGGAUGAUUUUGAAAAAGAAUUUAUUUUUUGCUCAAACAGGGUGACAAUGGAUAUAUUUUUGCUUUUAGGUAAAGACAAGAAGGCCACACAUCAUUUUGAACUCUGAUUUCUUUAUUUUCAAAAGAUUAAUUUUGCGAUUGGAUAACAUGAGUCAUUUUUUUUUAUCUUCCCUCCUAGACUGCCCUUUCGGGUUUUCAAUCUAGUGGAGUUAUUCUUUUUUUUUUGAAAGUUUCUUUUUUGUCUCAAUGGAUUCGGGGAUCACCUUACUAGUGCAAGCAAGAAAUCUUUUGGUCAAGUCAAUCUGCCCCAAUGUAAAGGUUUGCUUUGUUACUGAGGGCGGUGACAAAGUUUGUUGGGGACGAUCCUUUAUUUUGGAAAGGUGAAGGGUGAAGGUUUUCAAGCAACAUGUGCACAAUGUUUAGAAAGGAAACGUCAAAUUGUUAUUUUUUAUUAGACAUUUGACCUCGGAAAAGUCUGACACCACAACUUUUGUUUUUGGUUUAUCAUUUUUUUGCAUUUUUUUUGCUAUUUUCGAAAAAAAAAAGUUUGAUGAUUUGCAAGAAAGACAAGUGACUCAAUAUUUUCUUCAUAUUUUUUUUUUGUUUUUUUUUUGCGAUACCCUUUCAGGACUCGAUUUCCAGUGCUACUUGGAGAAACCCUGUGGCGAAUGAUCGCAUUGUAAGUCAAGGAUGAAAGUGCGAUAUCAAUGCGCAUACUUCCCCAGUAGCAAGACACUUCUCGAUGUCAAGUUCCCUUGUACAAUGACUUGUGCUUUCUCAUGUGGUCUGAAAGUCCACUUCCUUUAUUCAUGGUGUCUGUGGAGACGUUCUCAAGCCCUGCCUUAGUGUUGGGUUGAGUUUCUUCAAACUUUAACCAUUUCUGAUCAGUCAACGAUUGCAUUCGAACUUGAACACCCAAUACUUUUGAUGGCAUGAUCGAUAGCCUCUUCGUGGUAAUCACCCUUUGUAUAUGAUGCAUCAUGAGUCUUGGAGCAUGGAGGUUUUACAGGCUUCGCGUAACAAGUAGAGACAAGGCCUUUUUGUAGCAGACUUGGAAGCAACGUUGUAUAGGUCAAAGUGAAUAGGAAUGAAUCUCGUAGGCCUUUUCUCUUGAUCAAACAUUUUUCUGCCCAGAAACUUGGUGGGAAAUUGAGUUUGGAUCUGGUUUCCAAUUUUUCUUGAAACCAUUUCAAAUGGAGAUUAAGGUAAUGGUAUUUAAGUGGGAGAAAUUGUUGAGCUCUUUCUCCUCUCCUCUUCCCAAGUGUAGACCCAAACUCGAUCACAUUUGCUAUCAUGGUAGGAUCUUGUGGGACUUUCUGUCCUCCCACCAAUUUCAAAUCUUUCUUGGAUUAACACCCUGUCAGCAAAGUUUACGGAAACACUGCUCACCAUGGUCUCAUAGAAGGGUGAUUGCAGAGUAUUUUAGGAUUGUGUCAACCAUCUCUCAUUACUAAUAAGAGACUUUCCUUGAGCAACACUCUUUUCACCUUUGGGCAUACUCUUUGAAUGAUUUUGACUCCUUUUUCAUCAUGCCCUGCGGUUGUAAUAUGUGGAGUCGACACCCAUGUUAUAUUUGAAAUGUCUCAAGAAAGCAUCCAUCAGAUCCUCCCAAAACUAGAUACACAAAUGUUCAAGAUGAAUGCCCCAAUUAGUGUCAUGCCAAUCAAACUCUCGAAAGAAAACGUCUUCAUGCAAUACAUCAUGAGAUGGCUCGUGGGACAAAUGGUUCUUUUGGGUAAUUUAAACUUUGGGAGAUGUCAUCGCCUCUGGGAUUAAGCCUAGCGUUGCAACAUUUUCAAACUCAGCGCUUCCUUCGCCUUCUAUGGCUCUCACUCUCAGUCAGCCUCGAUUUCCAUUGGUGUAACGACAUGGAGAGAAGAUUCCAUUUCAGGUUGUUUUUUCAUCGUCAUGCUCACAAUGUUUGACUAAAGCAUUUCCUUAGGUGCCAUGAAAUUGAUUGCCCCAAGCUUGUUUUCUCCUUCAACUGCGUUAUUCUCGGCCCUUUGAGUGUAAACUUGCCCAGUUCUACUCCAAAGGUGAAGUGUAAUAUGGGGAAAGGCCAUGUGAGAGGAAAUUUUGGGCCUUCCGAUCUUUGUGUUGAGGCUGGGGGCACACAAAUCUCUUGGGUUUUGUAAGGCAUUUAGGACCUCUAGGGCUUGGCUCAUUUGCCCCUUCAAUUGUUGGAUAUCAACUUUCAUCCCUUCAUUUUUGAACUUCUCCUUGGUUCUCCAAGAUUUGGAAACUGGUUCGAGUCCUUUAGGGUAUCAUGGUUUUUUUUUUGAAAUCUUAUUAGAUGAAACAAAGAGAGAAAAAGAAAAUAAAGAUGAAAAGAAAAAGACAAAUUUCGAAAUUAACACGAAACAGAGUCAAUAGGGCAGCCCAUCAUUCAGAAGUUCCCAAGAUGUGAGUCAUAAGAAGUCUUAGUCAACUAUCUCGGGCCUUGGCCAUCACCUUCUUCAUUUCUCCGAUCAAUUCUUACAGCAAUUGAGGAAAGUUUCAACCCCUUAUGCAGGUUAAAUAUCGACACUGCAAACUCAGCNUCAGCUAAUAGCUUAGGGAUGUAUUCAAUGACUUCAUUGGCAAGGGAAGCUAGUUGUGAGAAACUUCUUUUUCAAUUCUUUGUAAUUCGCCCUUAUUCAACAACAUGCUCACUUGCAUCUGAGUCAUCAAUUCUCAAUGUCUUCUUUUUAGCUCAAUGCCAACACUCCUUCAGUUUUGCCACUACUGCUUUCACACGCUGCUCAGCACCGUGAAAUUGUUUUUCACAAUUCGGGUAAGGAGAAAUUAACUUGAAUGACAACUUGAUUGUCUUGACCCUUUCUGCGACUCAUUGGCUAAAGGAAUGUUUCAUUGACAGUCCAUGAUCUUGGACCUUUCUACGAAGCGAACAACAUUGCCCCCAAGCGUUCUUAACUUGAUGAAACAUUUCAGCAAAGAUUCAUUCUUCAUAUGAUCUGCAAUGUGUCAAGAGAUGCGGGCGUUGGUGACCCUCUCACAGGAUACCCAAAUUGUUUUUUUUCUUUUCCUUUUUUUUUGUAUUUUGUUUUUUUUUUGUUUUGUUUUUUUUUUUGUUGACACAUGCACAACACUGGAUACCCAUGAGGGGACAUCAAGAUAGCUCCUGCAAUGGUGUAUGAUACACGAUCUUUGCUGCCAAGAAAAUAAGCCAUUUAAACUUUUCCUCUUCUGAGCCCACACAAAGCUGCAUUCGUUCAUUUGCCCCUUUCAUCUUUGGUUUACAAUGCAGUAGUUCACUAAGGGGACAUGUGGCAUUCAAAGCGUCCUUAUUCGUGCGAGAAAUGAAGCAUACAUACAACAUUGGUAAACACCUAACAUCUUCCUGACCUUUAACUCAUGACACUGAUUAAGAGUCCCAUAAAUUCCAGUUAGGACAACCGAUACUGGAUGCUCAGAGCAAACUUUUUAUCCUGCAAAUGCAUUCAUGGCAGCACAGUCGACCAACUCCCUGGUAUUAGGAAAAAGCAUGACACCAUAGUGGAUAACAGCUAUUACAUUCAUGAAUGUUUCCUAAAUUUCCUCCUUGGUUAAUCAAUGCAAAAACCACUCUAGGCAUUCUUAAGCUAGUAUGAAUUUGCUUUCCAACUUUAUAGGGUGCAUUUUCGUGACUCUCAUUAGCUGCAAGACAGGGGUAUAUUGCCCAAGGUGAUUGUUUGGGUCUUUGCCCUUAAGAAAUGCAUCUAAGAUCAACUCAAAUUCUUCUACUGUAGGCACCAAUUGGAAAUGGGUCAUAGUGCUGGGCUAACACAAUAAUUUUUUUGUUGCCCGAACCUCCACCUCCGACAGGAUCAACAAAUUCCCAUGCUCCUUCCUGAAUGCAUUUUUCAAGGUUAUCCUUCUUUCACCAGAUCCCUCAAGUGACCGAUGUUUCCCCCCUUGGCCUCAAUGGGUAUGCUUUUCUUGAAAAAGUCUAAACUCAAAUGCCCUUUGACUCAAAAUCCCAUGUUAAUUUCCAUUUUUACCGUAAUCACGACUUUAUAAUUUCUUGACUAGAACCCAUAGAAUUUGACAAGGCCAUAAACAUGAGCAACAAAGAAAGAAAAAGAAUGUAGUGAUAUGCACAAGGUGCUUGAUUUUAUUAAGCAAAAAAUGAGGGUUACAAGAUUGCACACAUUUCCCUUUGUGCCCUGACGGAGGUUCGACGCUUUAGAUUCAAGGUCAAGUAUAUGCAAUCUCACCAGGAUAGUUCCCUGAGCCUAAGGAUUAAUGGUCACUAGAGCUAUGGCCCCCUCCACAGCAUUUCCACAACAGUCGAGUAAUCAACUAGGUGUGAAAAUACAAAUGAAGAGAACAAACUCUAGUUGGGGUUCUCACGACAACCAAACAGGCAGUAUGGCCCAAGUGGCACCGCUACACAACCCCUCUAUUUCUAAGCUGCACUCAGACCCGGGUAUAGGGCCUCACUCAAUAGAUGCAUAAUAUGUGUGUGUGUGUGUGUGAAGGGAGAAUGAAAUGCACCCAAACCCUCACCUGCAAAACAACCAGAAGAUUCCCAGGCAUAUAUAAACAUGUUUUCUACCCUAGGGUUCAAUAUCCAACAAUUCACAUGCAGUUAUUCCAAAUAUCAAGCAUAGAUAAAGAAAAGGGAAAGAGAAACACAAAGCAAAACCACAUUGAAUUCGCGCAUCUAAUUAAAUGGCCUGACUCUCUAGGGUUAUCGCCAGUGGAGUCGCCAUCUGUCGCAACCGGAAAAUCGCGACGGGACAACGAUCCAAAAAAGAAAAUAAUUUUUUUUGAAAAAAAGAUUUGGAGUCGCCACCAUAGUUUAUUCUGGAAAACUACGGAAAAACCAUAAAAGAUAAGGCUAGGUCUACAAAACCAAAUUCUGGUUUCGGAAGUCGGUUACGCGUGGGGAAGGUGUUAGCACCCCACAACGCCUGCCCUAAGGCAGUACCUUUAAUUAAAUGCGCAAACUUGAUGUGGUUUUUCAAAAUGUUUAAUUUUCCCUAAAAAUAAAACUCUAAAGAAAAAAAAAUAUUUUUUUAUUUUUUGUGUGCCCGACAAGGAUUGACCUUGCUCUUACGUAUUCUCAGUUGGACUGAGAAAUCAGGGUUACGUAGUUCUUUAGGAAACUAUUUGGAAAAUUUGUUUGAGAAAUUUGUUUGAAAAAAGAUUUGAAAUUUUUUGGAUUUUUGGAAAGUGAACCUGACAAGGACUAGCCUUGCUCCUACGUGUCUCCACUUUGGAUGGAGAAUUAAGGAUCACGUAGCUCUGGCGAAAAGAUUGAUUGUUUAUUUGUCAAGAUGUUUUUAGGUUUUGAAGAUUUUAUAUUUUUUUGGUAUUUUUAUAGAAAAAAGGAAAAGGUUUUCAGCACAACGCUGACAGAAUGGUCGCACGUGUGCUUAAACCUUUUAAAAUAAUUUUUUGUUGAUUUUUGAAAAAAAGAAGAAAGAGGUUUUCAGCACAAGGCCAACAGAAUUGUCGCACGUGUGCUUAAACCUUUUAAAAUAAUUUUUUUGAUUUUUUACGGAGGAAGAAAAAGGUUUUUAGCACAAGGCAGACAGAAUGGUCACACUUGUGCUUAAACCUGUCAAAAUAAUUUUUUUGUUGAUUUUUUUUGAAAGAAGAAGAAAAAGGUUUUCAGCACAAGGCAGACAGAAUGGUCGCACGUGCGCUUAACCCUUUUAAAAAUAAAUUUUUGUAAGAAGAAGAAAAAGGUUUUCGGCACAAGGCAGACAGAAUGGUCGCACGUGUGCUUAAACCUUUCAAAAUAAGUUCUUGUUGACUUUUUUUUGAAAAAAGAAGAAAAAGGUUUUCAGCACAAGGCAGACAGAAUGGUCGCACGUGUGCUUAAACCUUUUAAAACAAUUUAUGAUUUUUUUAAAGAGGAAGAAAAAGGUUUUUAGCACAAGGCAGACAAAAUGGUCGCACUUGUACUUAAACCCUUUAAAACAAAUUUUUGUUGUUUUAUUUUUUAUGAUUUUUAUAUUUUUUGUUAUUUUUUAUCCUUUUAUUUAUUAUUUUUUAUUAACAAAUAAGUAUAACAAACAAAUAAUAAUAAAAUAAAUUCUAAAGCUAAAGAAAUAAAAGCAAAAAAUAAAAAAUAAAAUAAAAUAAAAUAAAUAAAAUAAAAACAUUACAAACCAAUAAGCCCAAUAAGAAUAGGGAUGUAGAGAUGAAAAACCAGGGGUGCAACUCAAACAGUCAAGCCCAGGUCCAGUAACGUAGGGGUGNNUGNNNNANNNNNNNNGGGGGGGNGNAGCNUGAGAUAGCAUGCUCCGGUCCAAUCCUCCUUUCUUGGUUUGCAGGCAUGGAGUGUAGGUGCAAAUAACAUUGUGCGUGGUGGCANGAGAAGAGAAUGCGGCCCAAUAAGCCCAAGACCCUUUGCUCCAAAUCAGAACAGUAGGGGUUCCAGCGUAUGAAAAUUGGGGUGCUUUUGGUAGUUGCUGGUCAGGCCCAAGACCCUUUUUUGUUAGUUUGCAGAAACAGGAUGGGCCAUAGCCCAAAUGGAAAGGGGGUGUAACAGUGAGAUUUAGGGGUGGGGUGCCACUGGAUAUUUUGUUGAGAUGGCCCAAGGCCUCUUUUAUUGUUUGCCAGAAAGGGAAUGGAGGUGCGAAUAGCAAACGAGGGGUGCAAGGAAGAAACUCCAGCCACUAGCCAGGCCCAAGGCCAUUUAACCCUAACAGAAACUGAUAGGGGUUCCUCCAAUUUCAUUCCAUUUCAUCACCUAGGGCUUCUUUCCCUCUGAACGAAAGAAGCCAGAGACCUAACCCCCACUGCUCACAGCCAAGACUUAGCUUCCGGCCACCGCGAACUGUGGUCCAUAGCGUCGCCGACCACGACCCUCGUCGCUUGAGCCACCAAUUCGAGGCCGUCGUCCUCCGUCGAGCUGGCCGCCACUAGAUGCAGCCUAAAACCUGUCAGUGCCGAGGGCCGCCGCCACAGACUCCGCCAAACGUCGCGCCAAUCUCUCAUCCUUCCCCUUUCUGCGAGAAUAGCCACUCACCGAGCUAACGACGUCUCACCGGAAACAAAACCCAGGGGAACAAUUUCCCUCAUCAAACUCCGAUACGGCGUGGCUCGAAAGCGAGAGUCUCCCUUUCGUCUCCCUCUCUUAUUCGAAAUCCAAAUCAACACCACAAAUAAAAACAGACAAUGUCGCCGACUCUCACCCUGUUUCUGUGCAUUGAUUGAGUUUGGGUUUUUUUUUUUUGGAUUUUUGGUUAUGAAUAUGUGUUGGAAGAAAAUGGGUAUUGGUCUCUCUUUUUGGUAGUGUUGCUUAUUGAAGGAUGAAGUUGGAGUUGGAGGUAAGAAUGGGAUUCUGUUGUGUGUGAUCUGCGUGAGUUUCUGCUGUUAGAAACGAAAGGUGAGGGAGGAGCUUCUGGUUGUAUGCGCUGGUUGCAAGAGUAGGAGGUGAUGGAGGAAAUUGGUUCCAAAAAGGGUGACACUGUUGAGUUGAUAAGAUGUAAUAUGUGAGUGAGAGGUUGAUGAUGGAUGAUGGAAGAAUCGGUGGGAGAAUCCCAUUUUUUAUGCUNGAGAAAACAGUUUUGGAGAAAGUGAUUCUGUUGAGUGAGUAGUGAUUUUGAUUGUGAGAAUUUGGUUUUGUGAGUGAACCCGNUAGGGAUAGGCCAUGAAGCUUGGGAUUGGAAGAUGAAUUUGUCGAAGAUGAUGAAUUNGGAGAGGAUGGGAAUCAGGUUUUGGAAGAGNAGAAUCGUGGUGUGUGUGAUGGGUGAAAAAGUGGAGAGGUAGGAAUGGUGAGAAGGUGAGAAUGAUAUUGGUUGUUCUGUUGGAUUUGCAGGUGACAAAAGUAUGUUGUUGGGUGAUGAAAAUGUAAGGAGGUGAAGCGGGAUUGAGUUUCUCCAUUUUUCUCUUGUUUGGUGUUUCUGUAAUGGAGGAGGUAGUGAGUGAUUUGUUGCUGGGAUGAUAGGUGCAGUGGAGUGGAUGAUGGGAUGGCGUAAUGAGGCGCGGUGUGUGUGUGAUAGCCAAAAGGGGUGUGUGUGUGAAUCUGUUGGGGGUGGUUAUGGGUUAGAGGAGCAGAGUGGUGGAGAGCCUUCGAGUGUGGUGUCCUUCCUUGCUUGCCAAGACCAAACCGCCUCUGCCAAAAUCAAUCCUCGCCUCCCAAAUUUGCAUCCUUUUCCUCAGGCCAUGUUGUCCUUUUUUUCACAAACGACAAAGCCUUUUUCUUUUUCUAAUUUCCCCUUUUUUUUCUUUUUCUUAAUUAUAUUAAUUAUGCUAAAACAAAGCUAAAAAUAAAAAAAAUAAAAAGUAAAAACAAAAUUCAAAAUAAAAAUAAAAAUUAUGAAAAUAAAAGUAAAAUAAAAGUAAAAUAGAAUGAUAAAAAGGAAAUAAAAAAAAGACAUAAAAUAAGAUAGAAUAAGAAAAUUUGUAUAUCAUUCACCGGACGAAAUUGGGUGUUGACAAAUACAGAAUAAAAACGGUCGGUCAUUAACUCAAUUACUAUGCUUCCAAUCCCAGAUUAAAGACAAGUACACACUACUCUAAUCCAAAUCCAACACGAAUCACCCAACUAAGCGAAGGCUGAUUCGGUCUUCAGAAUUGCAGACUAAGCAAAUGCAAUGCUCAAAUCCAAUCAAUCGUGCACCACACAGUCUAAUCAACUAAGCGAAGAUUAAGCACCGAUUUGACAACUAAGCGUAUACCUAAUCGCAGGCACACAACAAAUUAAAUAUUGAGCAAAUCGGAGCAGCACCAAAAUAUAAUUAUAGUCCGGGAAUCUCAAGGAAACAAAGAAAUAUCGCUAAUGACCAACCAACUAACUUAAGCUAACAUUAAAACUAAAUUAUAGAAAAAUUGUGUGACUCACUUGAAAAGCAAUUGAUAAAUCUGAAAACACAUCAGAACAUGGAAAUAAAAUUGAAAUACCAAAGAAAACGAGUAAACAAAUGGAGUGCAACAAUUAAGCUAAUAAAGAAAAGACACAUAAUCAACUAAAUUGAACACAUCCAUUGAAGAGCUAAAAUAAAGUAAAUAAAAUAAAAAGCAUGACCACUAACUAUAAUAUAAAAAUGCACGACUCAUUAAAGGAUGAAACACUGGAUAAAAAAAUAAAAAUAAAAAACUAUCAAUGCAAGACAUCGUAAAUGCAACUAAUAAGCCUAAGACAAGAAAUGUUGAUUGUUACAUGCAAAUCCAUCACCGAAAAAUACUAAAAAG